RNAcentral lists this transfer RNA (74 nucleotides) under Mesosutterella porci. Its description in RNAcentral is "tRNA-Cys". It matches the Rfam family "tRNA". From Rfam's summary of the family: Transfer RNA (tRNA) molecules are approximately 80 nucleotides in length. Lineage: Bacteria; Pseudomonadati; Pseudomonadota; Betaproteobacteria; Burkholderiales; Sutterellaceae. The record is from RNAcentral. RNAcentral also lists the same sequence under 1 other name.
GGCGCGAUAGCAAAGCGGCCAUGCACCGGAUUGCAAAUCCGUAGACGGCGGUUCGACUCCGCCUCGCGCCUCCA